RNAcentral lists this ribosomal RNA (247 nucleotides) under uncultured bacterium. Its description in RNAcentral is "partial 16S ribosomal RNA". It matches the Rfam family "Bacterial small subunit ribosomal RNA", at positions 86 to 334 of the family's 1533-position model. The record is from RNAcentral.
AGAUGGCGACCGGCGCACGGGUGAGUAACACGUAUCCAACCUGCCGAUAACUCGGGGAUAGCCUUUCGAAAGAAAGAUUAAUACCCGAUGGCAUAAUAGAACCGCAUGGUUUGAUUAUUAAAGAAUUUCGGUUAUCGAUGGGGAUGCGUUCCAUUAGGCAGUUGGUGGGGUAACGGCUCACCAAACCUUCGAUGGAUAGGGGUUCUGAGAGAAAGGUCCCCCACAUUGGAACUGAGACACGGUCCAA